AUGUUCACUUUGGUAGCAUGUCUACUAAAUUUGGAGCAAUACAGAGAAGAUUAGCAUGGCCCUUGCACAAAGAUGACAUGGCAAUUUCUGAAGUGUUCCAUAUUUUA
Small nuclear RNA from Microtus ochrogaster (prairie vole), 107 nucleotides. Lineage: Eukaryota; Metazoa; Chordata; Mammalia; Rodentia; Cricetidae. The record is from Ensembl.